Molecule: ribosomal RNA, 498 nt
Filed under: uncultured bacterium
Lineage: Bacteria
Description: partial 16S ribosomal RNA
Rfam family: Bacterial small subunit ribosomal RNA
Source: RNAcentral
GAUGAACGCUGGCGGCGUGCCUAAUACAUGCAAGUCGAGCGAACAGACGAGGAGCUUGCUCCUCUGACGUUAGCGGCGGACGGGUGAGUAACACGUGGAUAACCUACCUAUAAGACUGGGAUAACUUCGGGAAACCGGAGCUAAUACCGGAUAAUAUAUUGAACCGCAUGGUUCAAUAGUGAAAGACGGUUUUGCUGUCACUUAUAGAUGGAUCCGCGCCGCAUUAGCUAGUUGGUAAGGUAACGGCUUACCAAGGCAACGAUGCGUAGCCGACCUGAGAGGGUGGUCGGCCACACUGGAACGUGGACACGGUCCAGACUCCUACGGGAGGCAGCAGUAGGGAAUCUUCCGCAAUGGGCGAAAGCCUGACGGAGCAACGCCGCGUGAGUGAUGAAGGUCUUCGGAUCGUAAAACUCGGUUAUUAGGGAAGAACAAAUGUGUAAGUAACGAUGCACGUCUUGACGGUACCUAAUCAGAAAGCCACGGCUAACUACGUGC